UGGUUAAACAAGGAAGGGCGCACGGUGGAUGCCUUGGCACUAGGCGCCGAUGAAGGACGGGACGAACACCGAUAUGCUUCGGGGAGCUGUAAGUAUGCUUGGAUCCGGAGAUGUCCGAAUGGGGGAACCCCUUCUCCGUCAUGGGAGAAGAUCAUCUGCCCAACUAAUUAAGCAGAUGAAGGCAGACCCGGCGAACUGAAACAUCUUAGUAGCCGGAGGAAGAGAAAGCAAACGCGAUUUCCUGAGUAGCGGCGAGCGAAACGGAAGCGAGCCCAAACCGGACGGCUUGCCGUCCGGGGUUGAAGGACACGCCAUACGGAGUGACAAAGGGGCGGCGUAGCGGAAGCGGCUUGGAACGGUCCGCCAUAGCAGGUAAGAGCCCUGUACGCGAAACGCUGCCCUCUCCGGCGUGGAUCCUGAGUACGGCGGGACACGAGAAACCCCGUCGGAAGCAGGGAGGCCCAUCUCCCAAGGCUAAAUACGACCUAGUGACCGAUAGUGAACCAGUACCGUGAGGGAAAGGUGAAAAGCACCCCGGGAGGGGAGUGAAAGAGAACCUGAAACCGUGUGCCUACAGGUGGUCAGAGCCCGUUCAUGGGUGAUGGCGUGCCUUUUGUAGAAUGAACCGGCGAGUGACGAUGGCGUGCGAGGUUAAGUUGAAGAGACGGAGCCGCAGCGAAAGCGAGUCUGAAGCGGGCGCAGAGUACGUCGACGUCGACCCGAAACCGUGUGAUCUACCCAUGUCCAGGGUGAAGGUCGGGUAACACCGACUGGAGGCCCGAACCCACGUAAGUUGAAAAUUACGGGGAUGAGGGGUGGGUAGGGGUGAAAUGCCAAUCGAACACGGAGAUAGCUGGUUCUCCCCGAAAUAGCUUUAGGGCUAGCCUCGGAGGAAGAGUCCUGGAGGUAGAGCACGGAUUGGAUGAGGGGUCCCCACAGGAUUACCGAGUUCAGUCAAACUCCGAAUGCCAGCGACUUGGUUUCCGGGAGUCAGACGGCGAGUGCUAAGAUCCGUCGUCAAGAGGGAAACAGCCCGGACCACCGGCUAAGGUCCCCAAGUAUGGAUUAAGUGGGAAAGGAUGUGGCGUUGCUUAGACAACCAGGAUGUUGGCUUAGAAGCAGCCAUCAUUGAAAGAGUGCGUAAUAGCUCACUGGUCGAGUGACGCUGCGCCGAAAAUGUACCGGGGCUAAAUCCAUCACCGAAGCCGUGGAUGUUAGAGGUGGGAAGUGAGACGUGAGAAGUGGGAAAAGGAGAUAAAGAUGAUUAAAACGUAUCGAGAUUUAAGGGUAUAUGAACUAUCAUACAAUCUCGGGAAAGAUAUUCAUCAAGUGACUCAUCAAUUCCCUGAUUAUGAAAGGUUAGAGUUAGGAAGACAGCUAAGAAGAGCUUCCACAUCGAUCCCUUUACUAUGGGAUCAAUACGAACAACUAGGCAAACAACUGUCUGUUCUUCAUCAAAAGUGGAAGUAGUUGGUUUUGAAUUUCUCACACCUCUCACAUCUGACCUCUCACCUCUAGCAUGGUAGGGGAGCGUUCGGUGUGCCGGGAAGGCCGACCGUGAGGACGGCUGGAGCGCACCGAAGUGAGAAUGCCGGUAUGAGUAGCGAAAAGAAGGGUGAGAAUCCCUUCCGUCGAAAACCUAAGGUUUCCUGAGGAAGGCUCGUCCGCUCAGGGUUAGUCGGGACCUAAGCUGAGGCCGAAAGGCGUAGGCGAUGGAUAACUGGUGGAAAUUCCAGUACCACCGAUGGCUGUCAGACCGAAGGGGGGACGCAGAAAGGUAGGGCGAGCGCGCUGAUGGAGAAGCGCGUCGAAGCGGCCGAGGCUGUUGGGCAGGCAAAUCCGCCCAACGUGAAGGCUGAGGCGUGACCGCGAGGGAAAUGAAGUACCGAAGUCCCCGAUCCUCCGCUGCCGAGAAAAGCCUCUAGGAAGGGCAUCGGUGCCCGUACCGCAAACCGACACAGGUAGGUGGGAUGAGAAUUCUAAGACGCGCGGGAGAACUCUCGUUAAGGAACUCGGCAAAAUGACCCCGUAACUUCGGGAGAAGGGGUGCUCCUUGGGGUUGAUAGCCCCGGGGAGCCGCAGUGACAAGGCCCAAGCGACUGUUUACCAAAAACACAGGUCUCUGCGAAGUCGAAAGACGAAGUAUAGGGGCUGACACCUGCCCGGUGCUGGAAGGUUAAGAGGAGGGCUUAGCGCUUAGGCGCGAAGGUCCGAAUUGAAGCCCCAGUAAACGGCGGCCGUAACUAUAACGGUCCUAAGGUAGCGAAAUUCCUUGUCGGGUAAGUUCCGACCCGCACGAAAGGUGCAACGACUUGGGCACUGUCUCAACGAGAGACCCGGUGAAAUUAUAUGACCUGUGAAGAUGCAGGUCCCCCGCGACUGGACGGAAAGACCCCAUGGAGCUUUACUGUAGCUUGAUAUUGGGUUUUCGUAUCGCUUGUACAGGAUAGGCAGGAGCCAAGGAAUCCGGAGCGCCAGCUUCGGAGGAGGCGCCGGUGGGAUACUGCCCUUGCGAUAUGAACAUCCUAACCUCGAACCGUGAGCCGGUUCAGGGACAGUGUCUGGUGGGCAGUUUGACUGGGGCGGUCGCCUCCCAAACAGUAACGGAGGCGCCCCAAGGUUCCCUCAGAAUGGUUGGAAAUCAUUCGCAGCGUGCAAAGGCAGAAGGGAGCUUGACUGCGAGACAGACAGGUCGAGCAGGGACGAAAGUCGGGCUUAGUGAUCCGGCGGCACCGCAUGGAAGGGCCGUCGCUCAACGGAUAAAAGCUACCCUGGGGAUAACAGGCUAAUCUCCCCCAAGAGUCCACAUCGACGGGGAGGUUUGGCACCUCGAUGUCGGCUCAUCGCAUCCUGGGGCUGAAGUCGGUCCCAAGGGUUGGGCUGUUCGCCCAUUAAAGCGGUACGCGAGCUGGGUUCAGAACGUCGUGAGACAGUUCGGUCCCUAUCCGUCGCGGGCGCAGGAAAUUUGAGAGGAGCUGUCCUUAGUACGAGAGGACCGGGAUGGACACACCGCUGGUGUACCAGUUGUUCCGCCAGGAGCAUGGCUGGGUAGCUACGUGUGGAUCGGAUAAGUGCUGAAAGCAUCUAAGCACGAAGCCGACCUCAAGAUGAGAUUUCCCGCGAGACCCCUUAAAGACGAUAAGGUAGAUAGGUCUGAGGUGGACGCGUGGCGACACGUGGAGCUGACAGAUACUAAUCGGUCAAACGGUUUAUCCAC
This 3217-nucleotide ribosomal RNA is filed under the name Salicibibacter halophilus. RNAcentral describes it as "23S ribosomal RNA". It matches the Rfam family "Bacterial large subunit ribosomal RNA". Lineage: Bacteria; Bacillati; Bacillota; Bacilli; Caryophanales; Bacillaceae. The record is from RNAcentral.